AUGACGUUUCUGUGGCUUUUCCUUUCACUGUUCUCGGCUCCCAACCGUGUCCUCUCCCAGGUGCAGCUGGUCCAGUCCGGCCCGGGGGCAGUGAAGCCCGGAGAGACCCUCACCCUGAGCUGCGCUGUCUCCGGGUUCUCCAUCUCUACUCAAUAUUACCCCUGGAACUGGAUUCGGCAGCCCCCCGGGAAAGGGCUGGAGUGGAUGGGGCAUGUGCAUCCAUAUGAUAGGAGCGCACGCUACGCCCGGUCUCUCCUAGGCCGAGUCACUAUCUCUGGAGACACCGCCAAGAACCAGGUCUCGCUGGAGAUCCGCUCGCUGACAGCUGCAGAUACCGCCACCUAUUACUGCGCCGGAGACACA
Pelodiscus sinensis (Chinese soft-shelled turtle) is the source of this 363-nucleotide non-coding RNA. NCBI's taxonomy places the organism in Eukaryota, Metazoa, Chordata, Testudines, Trionychidae. The record is from the annotation of a RefSeq genome assembly.